UUACUAUCUAGUAGAAAUCUCACGCUCUCGCUUUAUUGAUUUUUACUUUAAUUAAUUCUCACUCUCGUGACGAAUUAUAGUCAACGUUUAAUUAAAAACUGCUUAAGAAAAUAAAACAGUUGUUAGUUUUCAAGAAUUAUAUUUGAUUUAAAAACACUAAUCUCAGCUCUCGCAAAUCUUGACUAGCGUUAUACUUAGAUAAAAUAAAUGCUCAACUCUCACACGCUCACUUACCUAUAUAAGUACCUUUGAAAACCAAUAUAAAACUCAUUAAUCCUAAAUAGCUCUCGCGGACUUUAGAACUAACAGUCAGUUUUAACUAUCCGACCCUAAACCUCAACUCUCGUCAAUGUUGGUUUAUUGCCUUUAAAACAAUCCUCACUCUCGUGACGAAUUAUUUGAAAAC
Molecule: long non-coding RNA, 406 nt
Filed under: Trifolium pratense (red clover)
Lineage: Eukaryota; Viridiplantae; Streptophyta; Magnoliopsida; Fabales; Fabaceae
Description: long non-coding RNA (TPRA_LNC010318)
Source: RNAcentral